This 212-nucleotide long non-coding RNA is filed under the name Lathyrus oleraceus (garden pea). Its description in RNAcentral is "Pisum sativum (pea) long non-coding RNA (PSAT_LNC017046)". Lineage: Eukaryota; Viridiplantae; Streptophyta; Magnoliopsida; Fabales; Fabaceae. The record is from RNAcentral.
AAGUUCUUCCUAUUCCCAUUGAGGUUUCUCUGGAGGAUGCAACUAGCCUUCCCCUCGUUGCAUGUAUAUUGUCUGGUCAACUAUUUUUAUAAUAACAGACUAUAUUAGGGGAAACCUUGUAGGUAAGCGUGAUUAUUGAUAUUCUAUUAUUGAUUUUUUCUUUGCUUUUGAUCUUAAUAUAUAUUUAUCUUUGUGUUGCCUAAUAGUUCGUG